AUAAUAAAAAGGAAUUGAAGGAAAGAAGUGCGAAAAUCACUCGCUGGUCCGCAGCCGUAAUAGCCGGAAUGCUUCAAUUGU
Molecule: non-coding RNA, 81 nt
Filed under: Clostridium sp.
Lineage: Bacteria; Bacillati; Bacillota; Clostridia; Eubacteriales; Clostridiaceae
Source: RNAcentral